CGGACGGGUGAGGAAUACAUCGGAAUCUACUCUGUCGUGGGGGAUAACGUAGGGAAACUUACGCUAAUACCGCAUACGACCUACGGGUGAAAGCAGGGGAUCUUCGGACCUUGCGCGAUGAAUGAGCCGAUGUCGGAUUAGCUAGUUGGCGGGGUAAAGGCCCACCAAGGCGACGAUCCGUAACUGGUCUGAGAGGAUGAUCAGUCACACUGGAACUGAGACACGGUCCAGACUCCUACGGGAGGCAGCAGCA
This 253-nucleotide ribosomal RNA is filed under the name uncultured Stenotrophomonas sp. RNAcentral's name for it is "partial 16S ribosomal RNA". It matches the Rfam family "Bacterial small subunit ribosomal RNA", at positions 99 to 355 of the family's 1533-position model. The record is from RNAcentral. Lineage: Bacteria; Pseudomonadati; Pseudomonadota; Gammaproteobacteria; Lysobacterales; Lysobacteraceae.